GCCACUUUCGUAUAAUGACAUUAUAGGGGUUUUGUACACCUCGGAUGGGGGUUUGAUUCCUCCAAGUGGCUCCA
Molecule: transfer RNA, 74 nt
Filed under: bioreactor metagenome
Description: tRNA-Thr
Rfam family: tRNA
About the family: Transfer RNA (tRNA) molecules are approximately 80 nucleotides in length. Their secondary structure includes four short double-helical elements and three loops (D, anti-codon, and T loops).
Source: RNAcentral